Molecule: ribosomal RNA, 459 nt
Filed under: uncultured bacterium
Lineage: Bacteria
Description: partial 16S ribosomal RNA
Rfam family: Bacterial small subunit ribosomal RNA
Source: RNAcentral
CCUACGGGUGGCUGCAGUGAGGAAUAUUGGUCAAUGGGCGAGAGCCUGAACCAGCCAAGUCGCGUGCAGGAUGCAGGAUCUAUGGUUUGUAAACUUCUUUUAUAUGGGAAUAAAGUGAGGAACGUGUUCCUUUUUGUAUGUACCAUAUGAAUAAGCAUCGGCUAACUCCGUGCCAGCAGCCGCGGUAAUACGGAGGAUGCGAGCGUUCUCCGGAUUUAUUGGGUUUAAAGGGUGCGCAGGCGGAAGGUAAAGUCAGCGGUAAAAUUGAGGGGCUCAACCGCGUAGAGCCGUUGAAACUGGUUGUCUUGAGUGAGCGAGAAGUAUGCGGAAUGCGUGGUGUAGCGGUGAAAUGCAUAGAUAUCACGCAGAACUCCGAUUGCGAAGGCAGCAUACCGGCGCUCAACUGACGCUCAUGCACGAAAGUGUGGGUAUCGAACAGGAUUAGAUACCCCAGUAGUC